GGAAGGGUCUGUGGCUCAGUGGCAGAUCGUCUCCUUGGCACCCAGAAGGUCUCAGGUUCGAUCCGUGGCAUCUCCA
RNAcentral lists this transfer RNA (76 nucleotides) under Sphaerodactylus townsendi. Its description in RNAcentral is "tRNA-Ala". The record is from RNAcentral. Lineage: Eukaryota; Metazoa; Chordata; Lepidosauria; Squamata; Sphaerodactylidae.